GACGAACGCUGGCGGCGUGCUUAACACAUGCAAGUCGAACGGGCCCGCUCUCUUUUUUGGGGGUGGGUUGAGUGACGAACGGGUGAGUAUCACGUGAGUAACCUGCCCCCUGCUCCUGGAUAACUGCUUGAAAGGGCGGCUAAUACGGGGUGUGCCGGCUGGUCCGCAUGGGCCUGGUCGGGGUAGUUUCAUCUUCGGGUGUUUCGGUGGGGGAUGGGCUCGCGGCCUAUCAGCUUGUUGGUGGGGUGAUGGCCCACCAAGGCGGUGACGGGUAGCCGGCCUGAGAGGGUGGGCGGCCACACUGGGAGUGAGACACGGCCCAGACUCCUGCGGGAGGAGGCAGUGGGGGGGAUUGCACAAUGGGCGGAAGCCUGAUGCAGCGCCGUCGCGUGAGGGAUGGAGGCCUUCGGGUUGUGAACCUCUUUCUCCGGGGGUGAAGGCCCUGUCCGUUGCGGCGGGGUUGACGGUAGCCGGGUAUGAAGCGCCGGCUAACUACGUG
This 499-nucleotide ribosomal RNA is filed under the name uncultured bacterium. RNAcentral describes it as "partial 16S ribosomal RNA". It matches the Rfam family "Bacterial small subunit ribosomal RNA", at positions 28 to 507 of the family's 1533-position model. The record is from RNAcentral.